This 485-nucleotide ribosomal RNA is filed under the name uncultured bacterium. Its description in RNAcentral is "partial 16S ribosomal RNA". It matches the Rfam family "Bacterial small subunit ribosomal RNA", at positions 30 to 508 of the family's 1533-position model. The record is from RNAcentral.
AUUGAACGCUGGCGGCAGGCCUAACACAUGCAAGUCGAGCGGAUGAAGGGAGCUUGCUCCUGGAUUCAGCGGCGGACGGGUGAGUAAUGCCUAGGAAUCUGCCUGGUAGUGGGGGAUAACGUCCGGAAACGGGCGCUAAUACCGCAUACGUCCUGAGGGAGAAAGUGGGGGAUCUUCGGACCUCACGCUAUCAGAUGAGCCUAGGUCGGAUUAGCUAGUUGGUGGGGUAAAGGCCUACCAAGGCGACGAUCCGUAACUGGUCUGAGAGGAUGAUCAGUCACACUGGAACUGGGACACGGUCCAGACUCCUACGGGAGGCAGCAGUGGGGAAUAUUGGGCAAAGGGCGGAAGCCUGAUCCAGCCAUGCCGCGUGUGUGAAGAAGGGCUUCGGAUUGUAAAGCACUUUAAGUUGGGAGGAAGGGCAGUAAGUUAAUACCUUGCUGUUUUGACGUUACCAACAGAAUAAGCACCGGCUAACUUCGUGC